RNAcentral lists this ribosomal RNA (427 nucleotides) under uncultured bacterium. RNAcentral describes it as "bacterial SSU rRNA". It matches the Rfam family "Bacterial small subunit ribosomal RNA", at positions 355 to 775 of the family's 1533-position model. The record is from RNAcentral.
UGGGGAAUCUUGCGCAAUGGGCGAAAGCCUGACGCAGCAACGCCGCGUGCGGGAGGAAGGCCUUCGGGUUGUAAACCGCUUUCAGGAGGGACGAAGCUACCUGGGUUAAUAGCCCGUGGGGUGACGGUACCUCCAGAAGAAGCCCCGGCUAACUACGUGCCAGCAGCCGCGGUAAUACGUAGGGGGCGAGCGUUGUCCGGAAUCAUUGGGCGUAAAGAGCGUGUAGGCGGCUUGGCAAGUCUGACGUGAAAUCCCGCGGCUCAACCGCGGUAGGUCGUUGGAAACUGCCUCGCUAGAGUCCGGAAGAGGAGAGCGGAAUUCCUGGUGUAGCGGUGGAAUGCGCAGAUAUCAGGAAGAACACCCGUGGCGAAGGCGGCUCUCUGGGACGGUACUGACGCUGAGACGCGAAAGCGUGGGGAGCGAACAG